This 460-nucleotide ribosomal RNA is filed under the name uncultured bacterium. RNAcentral describes it as "partial 16S ribosomal RNA". It matches the Rfam family "Bacterial small subunit ribosomal RNA", at positions 338 to 795 of the family's 1533-position model. The record is from RNAcentral.
CCUACGGGAGGCAGCAGUGAGGAAUAUUGGUCAAUGGACGAGAGUCUGAACCAGCCAAGUAGCGUGAAGGAUGACUGCCCUAUGGGUUGUAAACUUCUUUUAUAUGGGAAUAAAACGUUCCACGUGUGGGAUUUUGUAUGUACCAUAUGAAUAAGGAUCGGCUAACUCCGUGCCAGCAGCCGCGGUAAUACGGAGGAUCCGAGCGUUAUCCGGAUUUAUUGGGUUUAAAGGGAGCGUAGGUGGAUUGUUAAGUCAGUUGUGAAAGUUUGCGGCUCAACCGUAAAAUUGCAGUUGAAACUGGCAGUCUUGAGUACAGUAGAGGUGGGCGGAAUGCGUGGUGUAGCGGUGAAAUGCUUAGAUAUCACGAAGAACUCAGAUUGCGAAGGCAGUUCACUGGACUGCAACUGACACUGAGGCUCGAAAGUGUGGGUAUCAAACAGGAUUAGAUACCCUAGUAGUC